This 445-nucleotide ribosomal RNA is filed under the name uncultured bacterium. RNAcentral's name for it is "bacterial SSU rRNA". It matches the Rfam family "Bacterial small subunit ribosomal RNA", at positions 354 to 796 of the family's 1533-position model. The record is from RNAcentral.
GUGAGGAAUAUUGCGCAAUGGAGGCAACUCUGACGCAGCCAUGCCGCGUGCAGGAAGAAGGCGCUACGCGUUGUAAACUGCUUUUAACCGGGAAGAAACCCCAGGACGUGUCCUGGGUUGACGGUACCGGAGGAAUAAGCACCGGCUAACUUCGUGCCAGCAGCCGCGGUAAUACGAAGGGUGCAAGCGUUAUCCGGAUUCAUUGGGUUUAAAGGGUGCGUAGGCGGAGCGUUAAGUCAGUGGUGAAAUCCUGCAGCUUAACUGUAGACUUGCCAUUGAUACUGGCGCUCUUGAGUGCGCUUGAAGUGGGCGGAAUGUGCCGUGUAGCGGUGAAAUGCUUAGAUAUGGCACAGAACACCAAUUGCGAAGGCAGCUCACUAAGGCGAUACUGACGCUGAGGCACGAAAGCGUGGGGAUCGAACAGGAUUAGAAACCCCGGUAGUCC